Molecule: ribosomal RNA, 116 nt
Organism: Mesocricetus auratus (golden hamster)
Lineage: Eukaryota; Metazoa; Chordata; Mammalia; Rodentia; Cricetidae
Source: Ensembl
GGCUAUGGUCAUACCACCCUGAACACACCAAGUCUUGUCUAAUCUCAUAAGUUAAGCAUGGUUGGGCCUGAUUAAUAGUAAUUGAAUGGGAGAAAUGAUCUUGGGGACCAUUUCUG